ACAAUGGAGAGUUUGAUCCUGGCUCAGGAUGAACGCUAGCGGCAGGCUUAACACAUGCAAGUCGAACGGUAACAGAAAAAGCUUGCUUUUUGCUGACGAGUGGCGAACGGGUGCGUAACGCGUAUGCAACCUACCUUCUUCUAAGGAAUAGCCCAGAGAAAUUUGGAUUAAUACCUUAUGAUAAUAUUUAUUCGCAUGUUUAAAUAUUUAAAACUCCGGUGGAAGAAGAUGGGCAUGCGUAACAUUAGUUUGUUGGUGAGGUAAUGGCUCACCAAGACUACGAUGUUUAGGGGGUCUGAGAGGAUGAUCCCCCACACUGGUACUGAGACACGGACCAGACUCCUACGGGAGGCAGCAGUGAGGAAUAUUGGUCAAUGGACGAAAGUCUGAACCAGCCAUGCCGCGUGAAGGAUGACGGCCCUACGGGUUGUAAACUUCUUUUGUAUAGGAAGAAACCCCUCUACGUGUAGAGGGUUGACGGUACUAUUCGAAUAAGCACCGGCUAACUCCGUGCCAGCAGCCGCGGUAAUACGGAGGGUGCGAGCGUUAUCCGGAAUUAUUGGGUUUAAAGGGUGCGUAGGCGGAAAUUUAAGUCAGUGGUGAAAGCCUGCAGCUUAACUGUAGAAUUGCCAUUGAUACUGGAUUUCUUGAAUCUAAUAGAAGUAGGCGGAAUAUGACAUGUAGCGGUGAAAUGCUUAGAUAUGUCAUAGAACACCGAUAGCGAAGGCAGCUUACUAUGUUAGUAUUGACGCUAAUGCACGAAAGCGUGGGGAGCGAACAGGAUUAGAUACCCUGGUAGUCCACGCCGUAAACGAUGAUUACUCGCUAUUGGCGAUACACUGUCAGUGGCUAAGCGAAAGUGAUAAGUAAUCCACCUGGGGAGUACGAUCGCAAGGUUGAAACUCAAAGGAAUUGACGGGGGCCCGCACAAGCGGUGGAGCAUGUGGUUUAAUUCGAUGAUACGCGAGGAACCUUACCAGGUCUUAAAUGCAUAACGAACGAUUGGGAAACCAAUCUUUCUUCGGACGGAAUGCAAGGUGCUGCAUGGUUGUCGUCAGCUCGUGCCGUGAGGUGUCAGGUUAAGUCCUAUAACGAGCGCAACCCCUAUUCUUAGUUGCCAGCGGUUCGGCCGGGGACUCUAAGAAAACUGCCAGUGCAAGCUGUGAGGAAGGUGGGGAUGACGUCAAAUCAUCACGGCCCUUACGACCUGGGCCACACACGUGCUACAAUGGUAGGUACAAAGGGCAGCCACUUGGCGACAAGGAGCUAAUCUCUAAAACCUAUCUCAGUUCGGAUUGGAGUCUGAAACUCGACUCUAUGAAGCUGGAAUCGCUAGUAAUCGCGCAUCAGCCAUGGCGCGGUGAAUACGUUCCCGGGCCUUGUACACACCGCCCGUCAAGCCAUGGAAGCUGGGAGUACCUGAAGUCGGUAACCAUAUAGGAGCUGCCUAGGGUAAAACUAGUAACUGGGGCUAAGUCGUAACAAGGUAGCCGUACCGGAAGGUGUGGCUGGAACACCUCCUUU
This 1524-nucleotide ribosomal RNA is filed under the name Flavobacteriales bacterium. RNAcentral describes it as "bacterial SSU rRNA". It matches the Rfam family "Bacterial small subunit ribosomal RNA". The record is from RNAcentral. RNAcentral also lists the same sequence under 1 other name. Lineage: Bacteria; Pseudomonadati; Bacteroidota; Flavobacteriia; Flavobacteriales.